Molecule: ribosomal RNA, 207 nt
Filed under: uncultured bacterium
Lineage: Bacteria
Description: partial 16S ribosomal RNA
Rfam family: Bacterial small subunit ribosomal RNA
Source: RNAcentral
CGCGUAGGCGGUCAUGUAUGUCAGGUGUGAAAUCCCUAGGCUUAACUUAGGAAUUGCGCUUGAAACUGCAUGGCUAGAGGCUGGGAGAGGAAAGUGGAAUUCCUGGUGUAGCGGUGAAAUGCGUAGAUAUCAGGAGGAACACCGGUGGCGAAAGCGGCUUUCUGGACCAGUUCUGACGCUGAGGCGCGAAAGCGUGGGGAGCAAACG